Molecule: long non-coding RNA, 1879 nt
Filed under: Monodelphis domestica (gray short-tailed opossum)
Lineage: Eukaryota; Metazoa; Chordata; Mammalia; Didelphimorphia; Didelphidae
Description: lncRNA (ENSMODG00000048706.1)
Source: RNAcentral
AUUCCGGAAAGCAAGGGAACUAGGUCUACAACCAAGAAUCAACUACCCAGCAAAACUAACUAUAUUCUUACAGGGGAAAGUAUGGUCAUUCAACAAAAUAGAAGAAUUCCAAGAAUUCGUAAAGAAAAGACCAGACCUGAACAGAAAAUUUGAUGUCCAAGCACAGAACUCAAGAGAAUCAUCAAAAGGUCCCUGAAACCCUCUUAAGUUGUAUGUCUUUCAUUCACUCCAGCCAUCCACCCAUUCUUCAACAUGUAGAACAUCCAAGUAUGUCAGGGAGGAUUACAGAGUCUUCAAAACCUUCCUUAAACCAAAUGUUUCUUCCUAAGACUUUGUGACAUGACCUUCAAGCCCAGCACUAGAAAAUCAAGACUCAGCCUCCCAGGUUUUUUCUUUCUAGACAUAAAGGUCUAACCAUGAAGACCUAGACUGAAAUCCUACUUUUGAGUACAAGACUUACUCAGCUGUGUGAACAUGGGCCCAACUUCUUCAACAACUUCCUGUCUCAUGCCCACCUGUUUUAUUUAUUUAUUUUUUGGGUUGGACCUAAGAUUUUAUUUGUAUAUGGACCUCUCAGGGAAGAAACAGGCAUCUUUGAAGAACACAUAUGAAGAGAGCUUCAACCCUUUCCUGUUUUCCCUGAGUGUCUUGUUCUUUACAGAUAGACAAAAUGGGAUGGUGACUGCAAAGAUCAGACUUGAAGUCAGGAGACUAAGGUACCCCUUCCUCUGUCCCAGGGAAGACAUGAAGAUGAAAGAGAAAAUAGUCCCAAAUUCUAUGCCAUAAAGAACAUCACCCUGGGAGUCCAUAGAAUAAUUCCAGCAAUUCUAGUGUUGCUCCGAAUAUUUUUGGAACUCUUCUUUCAGAAUGUGAACAUCUGGAACAUUCAAACUGAUGUUACUCCACAACCUUGGGGGUGGUCCGUGGAUGCACUCAUGGAUCUACAUUCAGAUGCAUAUGGAUCACAUGCUCUGCCAAGAGCCUGCUCCAGACCAAAAUGAAGCCUUGCCUGGCACCCUACAGAGAAUGAAAAGAUCCAUAUAUCUUAGGACCCAGAACCCUCUCUAUAGUGAAGGCUGCAUAGAAACACAUGAGAAUAUGUGCUUGUAUGAUUCCUUUAAUACAGGAUUAAAAGAACCUCUCUUAAGGUCAUGACUAAGAAAAAAUAGGCCUUCUUUCCCUCCUUCCCUCCCUCCCUCCUUUCAUCUUCUCUUUUUCUUCCCUCCCUGCUUUCCUCCUUCCCUUCCUUUAUCCCUCCCUCCCUCCCCCAAACCCCCUUCCUUCCCCUCCCAUCUCCUUUCUUCCCUCUCUCCUUCCCUCCUUCCUUCCUUCCUUCCUUCCUUCCUUCCUUCCUUCCUUCCUUCCUUCCUUCCUUCCUUCCUUCCUUCCUUCCUUCCUUCUUUCUUUUUCUUUCUUUGGAUCUCCUUAUCUAAGAUUAGAAGUGGUCACCCAAUGGUCACCCAAUGGACAUCAGAGAUUAUAGGUAUGUGCCACCACACUUGCCUUCUUUCUUCCUGUUUCCUUGAUUCCUAUUUCAGAGUCCAUUGGGUUUCUCAUUUUCACUUAAAAGAACAUGAUCAGAGUCUCAAUGAAUAGUCAACAAGCAUUAGACACAAGUUAACUUGCUUAGCGUGUUCUAUCUCGAAACACAGCUGUUGGAAGACAAUACUAGGACUGUGAUGGCAAUCCCAAACAUCAGCAUCUUACCUCCAAACUGUGCUAGAAUUUUCCACUUGGGGGUGGAGUGCUUUUCCAAGGUUGGUCUUGGCCUUGAGCUGUGUUGAGACAAUAUCAAUAAGUAACAGGUUGGGGACUGUUCCUGUACUUCUUUAUUUGCAUCAUGAAUAAAUGAUAUUUGUACUCAUGAUAAGAACUCUGA